AUGAAGCAGGCGAUCGAGCUCGUCCCGUUUCCUAUGCCCUCCUGUGGCAGCACGCGCACGAGCCGGCUCGGCUCGACCCGACGCGACUCGGGGUCCAGUCCGUACGACCAAGGCGGCGCGGCCGGCCUAGAACCUCCGUUAAACCCCAGGCCACCUCGCCGGCCUCGACCACCCCGCCGGCCGCGAAGCCCCUCGCCGGCGCCGGACGGCCGCGUCCUCCUCCCGCCCGCCGGCCGCGCCACCCUGCUCGGCGCCUGCCAACAACACCGGCCUCCUCGAGUUCCACGACGGCCCGCUCCACUCCGACCAAGCCGCCGGCCUCCUGCACGUUCGACGGGCGCCAAGUCCGACCGGCCACCUGCUCCUGGCGUCCUGUUGGACGCCCGCCUCCUGACCUCCUCCUGUUCCACGUCCGCGGCCAUCACGGGCACGGCUGGAGGAGUUGAAAAACAACAGGAAGAGAAGUACAAUGUUGAAAGGCUUGACUUCGACGGUAGUUAUAAAGACAUUGGGGUGGACUUCAGGGAAUUGAUUACCGGUUUUGAUGGGCAGCUGGAUACCUACAAAGUAUUGGUAGAUCUUGCUCAUGCAACUCGUAAACAAAUAAUCAAAGCCUCGUGCCGCAACGUGGUCACCAUUUCCGAACCAAUGCGAUUUCCAAUCCUAUUCAAGCUACACGUCACAAACUUUCAGGAAGGUAAUCUGUGUGCUGUAUUAGAUGCUUCAGUCAAGAAAGAUGAGACAUAUCGGAAUAUAUCUUCUCAUUUCAACGACUGGAGCAAUUACUCUGAGAGAUGCAGAAAAGGAAGGGUACAGUUUGCUGCAGAAUGUGAAAGGUUUUACCAAGAGCUACGCAAGGACCUAAUACCAGGAAUUCCAACUUUUGAUGCUUUGCUAACUUUUGUGGGUCUUUUGUCAAAUAAAGACCAUAAAAAAAUUCAUAAGCAAGAGCAGUCUGCAAAGCACAUCAAACAUUCUUCUGUAAACCCAGAUGAUCGCAGUAAGGGUGGUCGGGAUGAGGACCCUCCGAGUGAUAAAGAUGAGAAUAAUCAAGAAAGACAGAAGAACAAGGAUACCUCUUCAGCUUGGUUUUUUGAGUCCCAUGUGAUGCCAUACCAUUGGAUUGGAAUGACGACAAAGGUGAUGAUAUGCGUGCCGGCGGACUACAACAUGCAGCUGCUCGAUGCCAUCUACUACAACUUCAUUGACGCUCUCCCAGUGGUCAGCUAUUGCUCAGAGAACAUUAAGCUUCUGUUCUACUUUACCUCUGAGAUAUGUGGCAAGAUCAUCGGCCGCUUCAUCGCCAAGGAUCAUCCCCACCAUAAGGAAACUGAUUUUUUCGAGCUGAAAGUUGGCGAGUCACCCUACAUCUUUGGUCCAAUUGUGAAGCAGAGGCGAUCCUACUCAUGUGUGACGCCGCUUAUUUUCUCUGAGGAUUUAGAAAAUGAUUUUGAAUUCACGGUUGUGAGGCCUUUCAAUUGGACUGGACCAAUGAUGGACUUCAUUCCUGACACUGAUGGUCCCAGGGAGGGCGUUCCACGGGUUUUGGCUUGCUUCAAUAAAAAUCUCCUCCGCAGAGAGACCUGGAAGCUUGCUGAUGGCGGGAAUUCUCAGAGAACUUAUGUUUGCAUCAAGGAAGCCAUUGAUGCAGCUCUUCUUUUGAUGAUUGCACAUGGUCAUGUCCCAGGAGAGCAACCUUUGAUUGCUAUGAGUUCCAAACGACUCUAUGGUGAAGGAUACAACGACAGGAUUCUUGAUGUUACUCUAAUCAUAGAGCAGCUAGUAGGUCACAUCUCCACUGUUGGGGGUCCGAGCACAUUCACUGCUAGGGAAUUUACUGAAAUGAUGACAUGUGCACCUUUGAUUGAGGCGAGCGCAGAGCAGUUCUUGGGCAAAGGAUAUGACGGCAGCGACGACAAGAGGAUUCCAGGCGUGACCCCGAUCAACAAAAAGCAGCUAGGAGAGCCACUGCUGGAGGAUCCUUUGAUUGAGGCGAGCACAGAACAGUCUUUGGGCGAAGGAUACGACGACAGCAACAAGAGGAUUCCUGAUGUGACGCUGAUCAACAAGCAGCUAGGGUGGAACCCAAACGAUGCCUCUCCUAAGGAACUGCUGCCGACAGCACUGACGACCUUGCAGCACAAGACCAUGCGGACAAGUUGUCGAAAGGCAGAUGUCACAGGCUCCAUCGUCGAGUUACACAACAUGUCGCAGUCUUGGAUUCUGCGGCGAACACUGAUGAUCAUGUAG
This 2250-nucleotide ribosomal RNA is filed under the name Triticum aestivum (bread wheat). Its description in RNAcentral is "partial small subunit ribosomal RNA". The record is from RNAcentral. Lineage: Eukaryota; Viridiplantae; Streptophyta; Magnoliopsida; Poales; Poaceae.